GUAGGGAGCAAGCGUUGUUCGGAUUUACUGGGCGUAAAGGGCGCGUAGGCGGCAGAUUAAGUCAGCUGUGAAAUCUCCGAGCUUAACUCGGAACUGUCAGCUGAUACUGUUUUGCUAGAGUGCGGAAGGGGCAAUCGGAAUUCUUGGUGUAGCGGUGAAAUGCGUAGAUAUCAAGAGGAACACCUGAGGUGAAGACGGGUUGCUGGGCCGACACUGACGCUGAGUGCGCGAAAGCCAGGGGAGCAAACGGGAUUAGAUACCCCGGUAGUCCUGGCCUUAAACGAUGAAUACUUGGUGUCUGGAGUCUCUAUAGCUCCGGGUGCCGUCGCUAACGUUUUUAGUAUUCCGCCUGGGGAGUACGCACGCAAGUGUG
Molecule: ribosomal RNA, 373 nt
Filed under: uncultured bacterium
Lineage: Bacteria
Description: bacterial SSU rRNA
Rfam family: Bacterial small subunit ribosomal RNA
Source: RNAcentral